AGUGCAACUUUAAGGUUACAUUUUUUUGUGAGAUAAAUAUAUAACCUUGUAUGAAAGUACCAUAUGAAAAUUAAAUGCGAAAGCAAAAAAACAUUUACAAAACUCUAAGCGCAUAAAUUUAAUAAAAAAGCUGAAAUUUUCUAAGACCGCUCUCAAAAUCCCUGUUUUUUUCAACAACGCGUCAUAUUACGUAGUCAGAGGCGCUGGUCUGACAGGCUUUACAUUGGCAGUGCUGCGGUUGUAUUCAGCAAAAGCAGUCGCAAAUUGAUGUGAUUCUCCGUAGUUUCAAUUUAGCAUCGUCAUGGUUAAUAAUUGUGUUAGUGGGGGUUUUUCAAACUCCAGCCUGUCAGGACAAUGAGUCCACAGGUUUCUUUUGAAGAAUAAAGACCGCGCUAUCUUCCGUGUCUGGGUGUGUUUAACGCAGCACGAGGAAAGAGGCGAGAGACGCGACUUCAGUUCAGCAUGUGCUUCAGAAAAACGCGGUGGUGUAACUUAUAGCGUUCACGUUAGAUCGGAGGAUUAUCAUCCCGGCAAUAUGAUGGAGUUAAACAUUGGAUGCCGAAGCAAGAACCACGUGAGGCCUGUGUUUUUGCCGCCGCGAGAAAACAUGAAUCGAUCACGGUCCGUCUGAGAUGCAGCUCGAAGAUAACGUGAACUAUGCACAUUGUCCAGCUACAGAUGAAGAUGCUUAGUAUGAUGAAUCAUCCUCUGUUGUAAUGGACGAACCUGGCGAUGUGUUAUGGAGGAGGAAAAAACAAAAAAGACUCAUCUGAUGAGAAACCACUGCAAGAAUCUCAUCCUGUUCACACAAGUCUGUGCAGCAUGCAUGUAUCAGCAUUUUUGGUGACCAGUGACUUCUCUUCUGAGGGACGUGAAUUCCAAAUGUGUGUUUGUUGUGACGUGUGUGUGAACCAUGUGCAUCAUGCCUCUUGUCACAAUACGUGCCUGCUGCACACGCAUUGAAAAGGUUUAUGAUAAAAGAAGCACUCAUGUUCACAAAAUACUCGCAAGACACUAACUUGACACUAAACUGUAAUUACACAGGAGAUUAAGUGAGUAUCAGGCAAACGUGAGCAUAUCAUUUAUCAUAAACCCUUUACAUGCGUGUGCAGCAGAUUUUGACAUCACGUGUGAUGCACAUAAGUUUACAUGACGUGCUGAAAGCAUAUUUUGAAAUGACGAGCCACACACAUGACGAGCUCAAUGCAUGUGACCAGCUUCGCAACGUGCGCCCUCGAAAAAGAAGUCACCGGCCGACACUGACCCAGAUCAUCAAGAUGUUAAAGCUGUUUGGGCUUCAGAGCAUCUUGUCAGCACCUUCUUCCACCAUGUACACAAUUUCUACCAUCGUGAAGGCGUGGCAGAAUGAGAGAUUUGCAGUCACCACAGGCUCUACGAGAAUGCAGCACUGUCCUGUCUUCCACUACACCUGCUCCCCUCUCCAGAUCCAUCCAGAGGAUCAACAAGGAUGAAGCUGUUGGGAUCUAUUAAUCACAUCAUUCACAAUUUAACACACUUCAACACAUUAUUAUAAUACCCUGCACAUAUGAUGGGAAAGAUACUGAAAAAUUGUUAAAUGUUUUUAAAUGGGUCAGAUUGUAUAUCUUUUUUCGGUGCUACAUAAAUAAAACUAAAUCGAAUUACAAAUGCAGAUCUACUUGGUAUAUAUCUGAUCUAAACUUCAUAAACCAGUUUUUAUACGGUAAGACAAUUUGUGAUUAUUGUUUAUUGAUUGUCACAACAUGGGGGUAUUCAAACCAUUUAUAAAGUCCUCCUUCCUCUGGAACCUGUUCUUGAAUGGCUGACACAUGCAGGUAAGGGCGCCUGCACAGAGUUCCUUAGACGCCCAGCGGAUAACUUGCCUAUGCUGUAUUUAGUGGUAUUGUCUGGAGAUGGGAAAACUAUUAAUAUUGUUAAUUUGAAUAUUGACUAGUGCCAGCAAAAAUUGUGACUUAGUCAUGACCUAUAGGCAACUUGUAAUUAAAACAAAUUCAUUAAGAUUGUUUAAAAACAAAUUUAUUAAGAUUGUUUUAACAUUCAAAUCUUUAGUUUACUGUUCAUUUAUACAUGGAUAUUAAAUAAAUUAGUAAUAAAUAAUCUCUGCCAUAAACAUACUCAUUUCUACUGGCCUGGCCUGUAGCACAUAUGGGUUCAGACAGCUCACCUCUCCUGCGGUGAUGAGCAACAUCUGUAUCACCUAACGUAAGUGUGGAUGGAUAUUAACAUAACUUAUAAGCAUUAAAAAGACAUAAAGUAUCAAUACUAUCUUUGCUAUUGCAUGAUAUAUGAUAAUCUGUACAAUCUUGUGAUCUGGGCACAGUAUUACAUCUCGCCAGAUCACUAAUCUCACCCACACAUCUGUCCUUUUCUCCUCACAUAACACUUCAAUUUGUCUCCUCGUACCGUUCUGUUUAAUCCUGACCAGUCCCUGCACUCUUGGCUGCAUAGCAAACUCAUAAUUGUAUGGCUGUAGUUCGCCAUACGAGUAUGAAUAAACAUUUACUCGUUCCUCAGCGUCCGAAGAACUGUCAUUGCGAUCCAGCGUGCGCCUCUCGUGAUGUCACUUCCGGUUUGGCGGUUUUUAGAGGCGGGUCUAAAAUUUUCUUACAAAACUGACCCCAGAAGCCUAAUUAGUGCAUUUAGAAAAAUAUAUAUUUUUUAAUCUAUUUCCUACAAUAUUUUUCUGUACUUUGAGUGAAUGGGUGGUUUAACUUUCAAGUUGCU
This is a non-coding RNA of Misgurnus anguillicaudatus (oriental weatherfish), 2724 nucleotides long. The record is from RefSeq and is a predicted model, not a curated record. NCBI's taxonomy places the organism in Eukaryota, Metazoa, Chordata, Actinopteri, Cypriniformes, Cobitidae.